GGAUUAGAUACCCUGGUAGUCCAUGCCGUAAACGUUGGGCACUAGGUGUGGGGAACAUUCCACGUUUUCCGCGCCGUAGCUAACGCAUUAAGUGCCCCGCCUGGGGAGUACGGCCGCAAGGCUAAAACUCAAAGGAAUUGACGGGGGCCCGCACAAGCGGCGGAGCAUGCGGAUUAAUUCGAUGCAACGCGAAGAACCUUACCAAGGCUUGACAUGGACCGGAUCGCUGCAGAGAUGUAGUUUCCCUUCGGGGCUGGUUCACAGGUGGUGCAUGGUUGUCGUCAGCUCGUGCCG
This 294-nucleotide ribosomal RNA is filed under the name uncultured bacterium. RNAcentral's name for it is "partial 16S ribosomal RNA". It matches the Rfam family "Bacterial small subunit ribosomal RNA", at positions 775 to 1067 of the family's 1533-position model. The record is from RNAcentral.